GCAUGGGCGAUUUGGAUAUAAUAUUUAUCAAUGCUGAUUACCUGGAUUGCUUUGGCUGAUCUGGCUAGCCUGGAGGGUUUUUCCAUUCUUCCCUCACUGUUGCAUAUGUUUUCUUUCUGAAACCUUUUCUCUGUUAAAGAGAACAACGUUUUCUACUAGCAGAAGGGGGAAAGCAACAAAGCAAAAAUUCUCUUUUUUCAAAAAAGCUAAAAAUUAGCAUUUUUGUUACCAAGCUAUUCUUUAGCUUGGUAAAGAGAGAUGUAAGUUGGACAUUCAUCUUAUGC
Pongo abelii (Sumatran orangutan) is the source of this 284-nucleotide non-coding RNA. Lineage: Eukaryota; Metazoa; Chordata; Mammalia; Primates; Hominidae. The record is from Rfam.